UUUAAAAACUGAAUAUUGAUUUGGAAAAAGUAUUUUAUUUUGGAAUUUUCUAUUCAAGCUUUCACUAAAUCCAGGGGAACGUAGGUGUUUUGUGCACCGAGCCUAGUUUGACGCGGUGUUCUUCGAACCUGAUUAAAGUUUUAUGCAGGCAGAAGCAGGUUAAGCACAAUACAAAUUUGUGAGAUGAGAUAGAUAAAAGGCAAUAUAUUUAAUAUAAUAAACAUGAGUUAGAUGGUACACGGAGGAGAGGUUUUAGUUUAAGUUGCGAGGAAAAAAACUGGCUGGGACAGACCCCUUGCCAAUGGGGGUGGAUCGGGGAGCUAGGUAAAGGCCCAAAGGGACCCUUGCCGAAAUUCCAUAAUACGAAGACAUAGUGAUGGGCUAGCUAAACUUCAACAAAACAAUUAAGCUGCGUGGCCGUAGCGACUUAAAAGAUAAGUAAAGAAAAGCACAAUAAACCUUAAGAUUUGAAACUGGCAAUCUCGUAGACAGAUGCUGAAAGCUGUAAAUAAAAAUGAACUAGUUUGGCAGGAAAGUUAGGGUAAAGCACGUUCGUAGCAUAAAAUUUACAAUAUAAAUAAAUUGCACGUAAAAGUAAAGAAGUUUGAAGAGGAAGAUUUGGAAUGUACAAAUAUAAAAUAAACCUAAAAUUAUGAAGUAAAAAUAAAAUCGUAGAAUCCUUACGUUCUGGACGUAACAGUAGGACAUUUUAAAAACAAAAUUAUUCUGAGAGUGACUUGUAUUUAAUUAUAUUAUUAAGUGUUUAUUUUAGAAAAUUGAUGUUAUUAUUGUUCGCCAAUUUAAAAGAAAAUGAAAAAAUAUACCUCCACUCGUGUUUUAACCAAAGAUGACACUAUAUAUAAGUGGAGCGUUAAGCAAUUACGCCACCAGGAACACAACAGCGUUCUUGGGUCAAAACUAGGUCGAGUGAACUUUUUUAGAUUGGAAUUAAUCAAUAAAAUCUCUAAAGUUAAAAGAUGCAGAUCCGCGCCAUACAAUAGAAAUAAAAUUAACAAGAAAGGAUCUCGUGUAGCUUCAGCGGCGUAAUUAGUUUACGCCCCACUCAUGUUUAGUGACGUUCCUGAUUCAAAUGCGGAGCAACGUAGAUUUUUUCUCGUUUCUCCAAA
This is a long non-coding RNA of Belonocnema kinseyi, 1127 nucleotides long. RefSeq lists it as uncharacterized. The record is from RefSeq and is a predicted model, not a curated record. The transcript has 3 exons. Lineage: Eukaryota; Metazoa; Arthropoda; Insecta; Hymenoptera; Cynipidae.